Molecule: long non-coding RNA, 763 nt
Filed under: Homo sapiens (human)
Lineage: Eukaryota; Metazoa; Chordata; Mammalia; Primates; Hominidae
Description: PREDICTED lncRNA (TCONS_00227548)
Source: RNAcentral
GACCGAUGCGUCCCGCGCUCUAGGCGAAGACCGCGGCCCCGUCCCCGCGCCUCCACCGCCUUCUUCCAGGAGGAGGGGCCGUGCGGCGCCUGCCCGGGGGCCCUCAGGCCGCAGGCGGGCGCGAGCUUCAGGGAACUUAGGGGGCUCCCGCCUCCCCGGCCACGCGAGCGGGAACAGUCUCCUCCACUCGGAGCGAUUAUAGAUCCAGACUCCUGUGCCUGACCACUGCCCAUGGCCAACUCUCUGCUGAUGACUGGACUUGACUACACAAGUUGUUGGCCAUCUUAAAACCACUCAAAGUUGACGGUCUCCUCUCCUGCCUCCUGCGGCUUCCAUUACCAUGGCAGAGACUGUGGUGUCUGAGGUGGUGUAGCGUACUGAAGCAAGGCUGUCUUGAAGAAGAGGAGACAACUCACAAUUCUACCACCUUUGUUGACCUCUUCUUCCCCCCAACUUAUUGCUGUAGAGGCUACCUGAGCUCAUUGUCCCUGGAGAUGGACCAAAUAGAAGAAUAAGCAGUGCCUGUGUGCUGAAGGUAAAGAAAUUUCAUGUGGUGGAUUCCUACAAAAGAAAAAGCUGCAAAAGAGUCAACCAGGAAAGGUGCUAGACACACAUCCAAUGGCUGCUGAGUGAUGAAUGAGAAAGAAACCUUCGGUGUAGUAAGCCAUUGAAAUUUGGGGGAAAUUUGUAAUAGCUGUUGCUGUAAACCUCCGCACUGCAAAACACACACAUCCUAGAUAAUUAAAAGACAACUUCUACCAGA